Non-coding RNA from Cicer arietinum (chickpea), 316 nucleotides. The record is from RefSeq and is a predicted model, not a curated record. NCBI's taxonomy places the organism in Eukaryota, Viridiplantae, Streptophyta, Magnoliopsida, Fabales, Fabaceae.
AUGUCCAGUGAGAAUGAUAUGAAUGAAGGCAUCAGUGCUUUUGACGGUCAGAGCUUGAACGGGAGGGCACUUAGAGUGCAUGUUACUGAGGAAAGGCCCAGACACAACUCUUUCGGAGUCCAAGAAAUUUUCACUUUUAAAGUGAGUGUUGGCUGAUUUAUUUUUUUCUUCUUAAUGGUUGAGGUUACAAUUUCAUUUUUUUUUUUUCAGAUGUUCCUUUUUGGCAAAUGGUUUCAUAUUAGAUUUGUAUAUUUUCAUGUUAUUAAUUUAUGUCCACAUGAAAAUUAUUAAGCUAUGAUUCCAAUUUUAAAGGAAA